GACGAACGCUGGCGGCGUGCCUAACACAUGCAAGUCGAGCGGGGUUGAGGCGAGAGGUAACUCGAACUUCUACCUAGCGGCGGACGGGUGAGUAACGCGUGGGCAACCUGCCUCAAGGUUUGGGAUAACAGCCCGAAAGGGCUGCUAAUACCGGAUAUGCCUAUGGCCUCGCAUGGGGCUAUGAGCAAAGGGGAAACCCGCCUUGAGAUGGGCCCGCGUCCCAUCAGCUAGUUGGUGAGGUAACAGCUCACCAAGGCGACGACGGGUAGCCGGCCUGAGAGGGUGACCGGCCACACUGGGACUGAGACACGGCCCAGACUCCUACGGGGGGCAGCAGUGGGGGAUCUUGCACAAUGGGCGAAAGCCUGAUGCAGCGACGCCGCGUGAGCGAAGAAGGCCUUCGGUUGUAAGCUCUGUCUGGAGGGACGGAACAAAAUAGACGGUACCGUCCGGAGGAAGGCCACGGCUAACUACGUG
This 477-nucleotide ribosomal RNA is filed under the name uncultured bacterium. Its description in RNAcentral is "bacterial SSU rRNA". It matches the Rfam family "Bacterial small subunit ribosomal RNA", at positions 28 to 507 of the family's 1533-position model. The record is from RNAcentral.